UACGAAGGGGGCUAGCGUUGCUCGGAAUCACUGGGCGUAAAGCGCACGUAGGCGGACUCUUAAGUCGGGGGUGAAAUCCUGGAGCUCAACUCCAGAACUGCCUUCGAUACUGAGAGUCUUGAGUCCGGUAGAGGUGAGUGGAACUGCGAGUGUAGAGGUGAAAUUCGUAGAUAUUCGCAAGAACACCAGUGGCGAAGGCGGCUCACUGGCCCGGUACUGACGCUGAGGUGCGAAAGCGUGGGGAGCAAACAGG
This 253-nucleotide ribosomal RNA is filed under the name uncultured bacterium. Its description in RNAcentral is "partial 16S ribosomal RNA". It matches the Rfam family "Bacterial small subunit ribosomal RNA", at positions 524 to 776 of the family's 1533-position model. The record is from RNAcentral.